RNAcentral lists this transfer RNA (85 nucleotides) under Parasutterella secunda. RNAcentral's name for it is "tRNA-Leu". It matches the Rfam family "tRNA". Rfam says of the family: Transfer RNA (tRNA) molecules are approximately 80 nucleotides in length. Their secondary structure includes four short double-helical elements and three loops (D, anti-codon, and T loops). Further hydrogen bonds mediate the characteristic L-shaped molecular structure. tRNAs have two regions of fundamental functional importance: the anti-codon, which is responsible for specific mRNA codon recognition, and the 3' end, to which the tRNAs corresponding amino acid is attached (by aminoacyl-tRNA synthetases). tRNAs cope with the degeneracy of the genetic code in two manners: having more than one tRNA (with a specific anti-codon) for a particular amino acid; and 'wobble' base-pairing, i.e. permitting non-standard base-pairing at the 3rd anti-codon position. Lineage: Bacteria; Pseudomonadati; Pseudomonadota; Betaproteobacteria; Burkholderiales; Sutterellaceae. The record is from RNAcentral. RNAcentral also lists the same sequence under 2 other names.
GCCCGGGUGGCGAAAUUGGUAGACGCACCAGCUUCAGGUGCUGGCGCUGCGAGGCGUAUCGGUUCGAGUCCGAUCCCGGGCACCA